GAUGAAGAACGUAGCGAAAUGCGAUAAGUAAUGUGAAUUGCAGAAUUCCGUGAAUCAUCGAAUCUUUGAACGCACAUUGCGCCCGCCAGUAUUCUGGCGGGCAUGCCUGUUCGAGCGUCAUUACAACCCUCAGGCCCCCGGGCCUGGCGUUGGGGAUCGGCGGAGCCCCCCGUGGGCACACGCCGUCCCCCAAAUACAGUGGCGGUCCCGCCGCAGCUUCCAUCGCGUAGUAGCUAACACCUCGCGACUGGAGAGCGGCGCGGCCACGCCGUAAAACACCCAACUCUUCUGAAGUUGACCUCGAAUCAGGUAGGAAUACCCGCUGAACUUAAGCAUAUCAAUAAGCGGAGGA
This 352-nucleotide unclassified non-coding RNA is filed under the name soil metagenome. RNAcentral's name for it is "partial contains 5.8S ribosomal RNA, internal transcribed spacer 2, and large subunit ribosomal RNA". The stretch from base 1 to 120 matches the Rfam family "5.8S ribosomal RNA", at positions 35 to 154 of the family's 154-position model. The record is from RNAcentral.